This 553-nucleotide ribosomal RNA is filed under the name uncultured bacterium. RNAcentral describes it as "partial 16S ribosomal RNA". It matches the Rfam family "Bacterial small subunit ribosomal RNA", at positions 358 to 900 of the family's 1533-position model. The record is from RNAcentral.
GGAAUCUUCGGCAAUGGGGGCAACCCUGACCGAGCAACGCCGCGUGAGUGAAGAAGGUUUUCGGAUCGUAAAGCUCUGUUGUAAGUCAAGAACGGGUGUGAGAGUGGAAAGUUCACACUGUGACGGUAGCUUACCAGAAAGGGACGGCUAACUACGUGCCAGCAGCCGCGGUAAUACGUAGGUCCCGAGCGUUGUCCGGAUUUAUUGGGCGUAAAGCGAGCGCAGGCGGUUUGAUAAGUCUGAAGUUAAAGGCUGUGGCUCAACCAUAGUUCGCUUUGGAAACUGUCAAACUUGAGUGCAGAAGGGGAGAGUGGAAUUCCAUGUGUAGCGGUGAAAUGCGUAGAUAUAUGGAGGAACACCGGUGGCGAAAAGCGGCUCUCUGGUCUGUAACUGACGCUGAGGCUCGAAAGCGUGGGGAGCGAACAGGAUUAGAUACCCUGGUAGUCCACGCCGUAAACGAUGAGUGCUAGGUGUUGGAUCCUUUCCGGGAUUCAGUGCCGCAGCUAACGCAUUAAGCACUCCGCCUGGGGGAGUACGACCGCAAGGUUGAAAC